CGCCAGGAAAGGAGUGGAAAAAAGUGGGCGAGGAGGAGCGUUGAAAAUUUCCUGACAAGUAGUUUCCGUGCGCCCGAGAGCGUGUGAAUUGCUCCUAAUUACCGUGUCCGAUUCUCUUAAACUCAGGACGCGCAUCGGUCUGUCCGACCUUCCCGGCAAGAGACAAAGUCACUGCUGGGAGGCCCCCUCGGACAGUUUUCAGUUUUAACUUUCGCCUUAUUCUCGUCUUGUCUUGAUGUCACGGCCCUGAGGAACAGCUCGUUCUGCAGAAGAGGUAACAGGUUUCAGAUUUUGUUUCCUUUUUGAAAGGCUGUUGCCUUUCAAACAUCUGGAAUUAAUGCCGCGGCCCUCGGGCGAGUCGCCCUCGGUUUCUGUAGCUCUGAUUUUAUCUCUGUGUCUUUUCCCCUCUAAUUUCUAAAGUUCUGUUUUUCCCUCUAAUUCUG
This 443-nucleotide long non-coding RNA is filed under the name Homo sapiens (human). RNAcentral describes it as "non-protein coding lnc-ELAVL4-8:2". Lineage: Eukaryota; Metazoa; Chordata; Mammalia; Primates; Hominidae. The record is from RNAcentral.